Molecule: ribosomal RNA, 983 nt
Filed under: uncultured bacterium
Lineage: Bacteria
Description: bacterial SSU rRNA
Rfam family: Bacterial small subunit ribosomal RNA
Source: RNAcentral
CAGCAGCCGCGGUAAUACGGAGGAUGCAAGCGUUAUCCGGAUUUAUUGGGUUUAAAGGGUGCGUAGGCGGAGCGAUAAGUCAGUGGUGAAAUCCCCCGGCUCAACCGGGGAACUGCCAUUGAUACUGUCGUUCUUGAGUACAGUUGAGGUGGGUGGAAUGUAUCAUGUAGCGGUGAAAUGCAUAGAUAUGAUACAGAACACCGAUAGCGAAGGCAACGCACCAAGCUGUAACUGACGCUGAGGCACGAAAGCGUGGGGAGCAAACAGGAUUAGAUACCCUGGUAGUCCACGCUGUAAACGAUGAUCACUCGCUGUUAGCGAUACACAGUUAGCGGCUAAGCGAAAGCAUUAAGUGAUCCACCUGGGGAGUACGGUCGCAAGAUUGAAACUCAAAGGAAUUGACGGGGGCCCGCACAAGCGGAGGAGCAUGUGGUUUAAUUCGAUGAUACGCGAGGAACCUUACCAAGGCUUAAAUGAAAGACGACAGUCCCGGAAACGGGAUUUUCCUUCGGGACGUCCUACAAGGUGCUGCAUGGUUGUCGUCAGCUCGUGCCGUGAGGUGUCGGGUUAAGUCCCAUAACGAGCGCAACCCUUAUUCUUAGUUGCCAUCAGGUAAUGCUGGGGACUCUAAGAAAACUGCCUACGCAAGUAGUGAGGAAGGUGGGGAUGACGUCAAAUCAGCACGGCCCUUAUGCCUUGGGCUACACACGUGCUACAAUGGGCGGUACAGAGGGCAGCUACCUGGUAACAGGAUGCUAAUCUCGAAAACCGUUCUCAGUUCGGAUCGAAGUCUGCAACUCGACUUCGUGAAGUUGGAUUCGCUAGUAAUCGCACAUCAGCCAUGGCGCGGUGAAUACGUUCCCGGGCCUUGUACACACCGCCCGUCAAGCCAUGGAAGCCGGGAGUGCCUGAAGUCCGUAACCGUAAGGAGCGGCCUAGGGUAAAACUGGUGACUGGGGCUAAGUCGUAACAAGGUAACCGUA